UGGAUUUGAUAUUGAAUUUUUUAUUAGUUAGCUAGAUGAUGAAUUUUGAUUACAUGAGUUGUACUUGAUCCUAUUUAAAAAGGAUUCCCUUCUUCAAUGACUCUAACCACAUACGUGUACAAGAUCUAGACCAUUCAUUUUAUGGCCUCCACCAUAGAUGGUUGACACUGUAAUAACUGUUUGUCACUGUAGAAUCGUUUUCAUUUCCAACUGCCCAUUUCCAGGCCGCAUUUGGAUGCUUAGGACUGUUUCAUUGGUGGGACAUCUGGGCAAUGAUCAAUUAAUGGUGGGGCCCACCAAAAUGUGCAGUGCAGAUCACGUGCCAGAUUAGAUUCCUGUACGGGGAGAAAAAGAAAAGGGUGCCUUUGCCCAUUAUCAUGCAUGAAAAUAUCUUUCAAAAUUUCUUUUGUAGGAUGCUUCUAUUAAUCAGUCGGAGGUCUUCAAUAGGGUUGUUUCUUGUUUGCAUUUUGCUAACCAAAGAUGAGAGCAUUUCGGUGCUGGUGAUAUCGGAUAUGUGGCUCAAGCCCAUGCGGAAUCUAGAUGUGAAGUUACCAAAGCAAACGUAGGUGAGGAAAUCCAUCUUUGAUAAUGCUAUAUCCAAUUUUUCUAUUUGUAGUUAGGAUUAUGUUCCCAUGUGAUUAGAGAAAUUAAACUUUGAUACUUUGACAGACCCUUUUAUCUUUAAUGGAAGGAAUAAGAUGCUAUAUGAAUCGCUUCUUGUAUUGAUCAAUGCAGUUUAGCUAUUUAUUAACGGUUGGUUUCUUCAAAAGAUUUCCCUCUAAAAGCAUGUGUGAGGCUUUCUGGAAGGAGGGAUGAU
This is a long non-coding RNA of Magnolia sinica, 817 nucleotides long. RefSeq lists it as uncharacterized. The transcript has 3 exons. NCBI's taxonomy places the organism in Eukaryota, Viridiplantae, Streptophyta, Magnoliopsida, Magnoliales, Magnoliaceae. The record is from RefSeq and is a predicted model, not a curated record.